UUGCAUGAGUAAGCGUUUCUGCUUUUUUAAAAAAAAAUGUGUUUGUUUGUUUCUUGAUUGUUGUUGUGUCUCCUACAGAGGGAAGCAAUUACUUGCUCAUUGGACAAAGACCUCGAUCUGGCAAAAGCCCAGUUCUGCCGGGCCCAGCAGAGGGGAGCCAGCCAGCCACACUCCACUGAAUUAGCCCCGAAGAUGGCUGGGAGUUCCCACCUUCAAACAGGAAAUGAAUCCAGAAGAGGAAGAAGCUCACUCAAGGUCCCUCCUGUAACAAUGCCACGUCCCUUCUUGCUCAGGGCCAUGCACGUGGUCGCCCACAUUCAUCCUGGCCAACUGCUUCUCAUCCCGAAGACUGACCCCUUCCUUCCCUGAUCGCCUUGAAUAAAGUAGCCCACCACAGUUGUCACAA
Long non-coding RNA from Suricata suricatta (meerkat), 406 nucleotides. RefSeq lists it as uncharacterized. The record is from RefSeq and is a predicted model, not a curated record. Lineage: Eukaryota; Metazoa; Chordata; Mammalia; Carnivora; Herpestidae. The transcript is spliced from 2 exons.